UACAGAGGGUGCGAGCGUUAAUCGGAAUUACUGGGCGUAAAGCGUGCGUAGACGGUUUCGUAAGUCGGGUGUGAAAUCCCCGGGCUCAACCUGGGAAUUGCAUUCGAAACUGCGAGGCUAGGGUACGGAAGAGGGAAGCGGAAUUUCUGGUGUAGCGGUGAAAUACGUAGAUAUCAGAAGGAACAUCAGUGGCGAAAGCGGCUUCCUGGUCCAGUACCGACGUUCAGGCACGAAAGCGUGGGGAGCAAACAGG
This 253-nucleotide ribosomal RNA is filed under the name uncultured bacterium. RNAcentral describes it as "partial 16S ribosomal RNA". It matches the Rfam family "Bacterial small subunit ribosomal RNA", at positions 524 to 776 of the family's 1533-position model. The record is from RNAcentral.